This 460-nucleotide ribosomal RNA is filed under the name uncultured bacterium. RNAcentral's name for it is "partial 16S ribosomal RNA". It matches the Rfam family "Bacterial small subunit ribosomal RNA", at positions 338 to 795 of the family's 1533-position model. The record is from RNAcentral.
CCUACGGGUGGCAGCAGUGAGGAAUAUUGGUCAAUGGGCGGAAGCCUGAACCAGCCAAGUCGCGUGAGGGAAUAAGGCCCUACGGGUCGUAAACCUCGUUUGCCGGGGAGCAAGGGCGGGGACGUGUCCCGGCCCGGAGAGUACCCGGAGAAAAAGCAUCGGCUAACUCCGUGCCAGCAGCCGCGGUAAUACGAAGGAUGCGAGCGUUAUCCGGAUUUAUUGGGUGUAAAGUGUGCGUAGGCGGGCUGUUAGGUCAGCGGUAAAAAUUCGGGGCGCAACCCCGGCCGGCCGUUGCAACGGGGGGCAUGGAGUGGGCGAGAAGAAGGCGGAAUGCGUGGUGUAGCGGUGAAAUGCAUAGAUAGCACGCAGAACCCCGAUUGCGAAGGCAGCCUUCCGGCGCCCUACUGACGCCGAGGGACGAAAGUGCGGGGAUCGAACAGGAUUAGAUACUCGGGUAGUC